RNAcentral lists this ribosomal RNA (513 nucleotides) under uncultured bacterium. Its description in RNAcentral is "partial 16S ribosomal RNA". It matches the Rfam family "Bacterial small subunit ribosomal RNA", at positions 28 to 523 of the family's 1533-position model. The record is from RNAcentral.
GGUGAACGCUGGCGGCGUGCCUAAUACAUGCAAGUCGAGCGAACGGAUAAGGAGCUUGCUCCUUUGAAGUUAGCGGCGGACGGGUGAGUAACACGUGGGUAACCUACCUAUAAUACUGGAAUAACUUCGGGAAACCGGAGCUAAUGCCGGAUAACAUUUGGAACUGCAUGGUUCUAAAGUAAAAGCUGGUUUUGCUAUCACUUAUAGCUGGACACGCGCCGUAUUAGCUAGUUGGUAAGGUAACGGCUUACCAAGUCAACGAUACGUGGCCGACCUGAGAGGGUGAUCGGCCACACUGGAACUGAGACACGGUCCAGACUCCUACGGGAGGCAGCAGUAGGGAAUCUUCCGCAAUGGACGAAAGUCUGACGGAGCAACGCCGCGUGAGUGAUGAAGAUUUUCGGAUCGUAAAACUCUGUUAUUAGGGAAGAACAAAUGUGUAAGUAACUGUGCACAUCUUGACGGUACCUAAUCAGAAAGCCACGGCUAACUACGUGCCAGCCGCCGCCGUAA